Molecule: long non-coding RNA, 365 nt
Filed under: Mytilus galloprovincialis (Mediterranean mussel)
Lineage: Eukaryota; Metazoa; Mollusca; Bivalvia; Mytilida; Mytilidae
Source: RNAcentral
GGGUAAUAUGCAAUAUAUGAAAACAAGGGAAACUCUAGUGAAGUUAAAGAUAUUAUUUUUUAUGUGAAAAUAUUGUUGUUCUAUUUCGAAUGGAAAAUUUAUGAGGAGCUAGGAUUUGAAGAAAAUGUAGAUAAAGAAUUAGAUUUUCAUUCAAGCAAUAGCUAUUACUGUGUACUGAAGUUACAAUUAAAACUGUAUUUUUGGCACAUGCUGUGUUAGCUUUUGUUUAAGAAAGAAUAGUUUAGUAUUGAGUUUUUAAAGUAAUUAUAGAUAAUAAUAAAAAUGCAUUCAUAUUUAUAAACAAUUUAAUUAAAACUGUGAUAAAUGUAGUUGUAUAAAAUAUGAGAAAACAUUAUAUUAGUAAU